This 1053-nucleotide long non-coding RNA is filed under the name Gossypium barbadense (sea-island cotton). RNAcentral describes it as "long non-coding RNA (GBAR_LNC018891)". The record is from RNAcentral. Lineage: Eukaryota; Viridiplantae; Streptophyta; Magnoliopsida; Malvales; Malvaceae.
UCAAAUGUAAAGUCAACAUUUUCUAAAAAACAAACCAUUCUCUGCCAUUUUUUACAACAAAACAAAAACCUUAUAAACCCUAGCCUCUGCCAGGCCUUCAACUCAGCCACCGCCGCUGCCAUUCAAGGCCGAUUUAUGUCCUCAGUCAUCCCAGUCUCCGAUCGCGACGGAGAUGGGAUGAAACGCGACGAAGCUAGGUAAGUUUCUUUUCUUCUCUUUGUAUUAUUAUUUUACAAAAUUAAAAAAAAAUCAAAAGAAUAUAUGAGAAAAAUAAAAAAAAAAAUGAAAACACGAUUCACCUUCAAGUUUUUCUUUGUAUUUCAAUCUUUUCCCUCUAUUUUCUUAUAUAUUUUACACUUAAAAAAAAAUCCCCCCCAGCAUUACAGAUUUCCAAAGGCUUUUAUAGCCCGCAAAGUCGAAAAGAAAAAAACAAAUAAAAUCUGCUAAUUGUUAUUUUUUGCUGUUUUAUCUCAAUCGGACUCUUUGAGUCCACGAUUGCAGGAGUUCGUGGAGUGCACGGCGCGGGGAAAAAGGGUGGUUCUGCAACAUGCGCUGAUCGGAUCUGCUGGAGGCUGCUGGAGCGCGUCGUGGGGCUGUUGCGGCGCUCAACUGCCAUCUGCUUAGGGCUAGAGUUUUUCUAAAUUUUUUAGUUUUGGGCCAUUUAUUUGUUUUGCUUGGAUCCAGGCCAAUUGAGCCUUAUUACAGGAUUUUUUUGGCCCCAACCUGUCUCGAAUCAGCCUAAACUUUCAAAUUUGUUGUUGUUUACUUCCGUUUUUGUUGAUAUUUUGCUAUUAUAUUACUAUUAUUUUAUUGUUAUUAUUUGAAUAUUGUAUAACUCUAUUUUAUUGUUAAUUUUUUAAUAUAUUUUUAAUUUGUUAGGAAACAUUUGUUUGAAUAUUUUUAGUACAUAUGACGUAAAUAAUAUUAAAAAUUUAAUACGGGCGGGCUAGGUUGAGCUCGAAUUUAACAUUUUUAAUUUAGACUAGACUUGGACAAAAUUUUAGGCCUGUUUUAAAGUCGAGCCAGAGCUAAGCUUAGAAAACAAGCUUAAAA